RNAcentral lists this long non-coding RNA (618 nucleotides) under Nicotiana benthamiana. RNAcentral describes it as "long non-coding RNA (NBEN_LNC039118)". Lineage: Eukaryota; Viridiplantae; Streptophyta; Magnoliopsida; Solanales; Solanaceae. The record is from RNAcentral.
UGUGAUGUUUUGUGCUCUCUGUUGUGAUAUUUCUUUCAGUUGGUGCAAAUUUCACUCAUCUUACUAUGAUGCUUUCUGAUGCCCUGAUAACCUAGUUGAUUUGUCUCACAACUAAGCAGUUAAAGUUGCCGAUUUGAGUGCUCUAGUUCUUGAGCUAUGUUAUUUGUUUAAUUGAGAUGGUUCUUGGGCCCAUGGCUUUUAAACCCAAGUGUCGAUCUAGUUUCAGCUCAGUCUUGUUUCUGUCCUUGUUGGGGUGGCCAUAUUACCGGCAUGUUUACCUGUUACAUGUUAUUUACAUCAGUAAUUUUGAAAUUGACUUCCUUAAUAUUUGUUUUUGGUGACCUGUGUAAUAAUAGCUUGUAUUUUCAGAAAAUCGGUAUAAAGAUGAUUAUGGUGAUAUAACAAGUGCCAGUGAGUCAACACUGAAGGAUGCCACUCCUAAGAAAUUUGGUUGUGACUCGACUAGAAACAAGCUUCCCCUUUCUUUGAGAAAAGUAGGCCAUAACCAUGUCGAAAAGCCUCAUACACUGAAGGAUGCCACACCUAAGAAAUUUGGUUGUGACUCGACUAGAAACAAGCUUCCCCUUUCUUUGAGAAAAGCAGGCCAUAACCAUGUCG